Vicia villosa (hairy vetch) is the source of this 279-nucleotide long non-coding RNA. RefSeq lists it as uncharacterized. The record is from RefSeq and is a predicted model, not a curated record. Lineage: Eukaryota; Viridiplantae; Streptophyta; Magnoliopsida; Fabales; Fabaceae. The transcript is spliced from 2 exons.
CGAAAAAUGGCAAUGCACAUUUGCAAGCUUUUUUUCUUGGGACUUAUAUGCAUUGCGUUGGUUCUAUCUUCAGCAGGAGCAACCCAAGUUGAUAACUUUCAAUCAAAAUGCAUUUUUGGGGAUUGUGGAGAUUGCGAAAAAAGAUGCAUUCAGCAGGGAUUUGAAGUUGGUUCAUGUACUUUUGAAGGAGAUUGUUGUUGCUAUAAACCUUGAAAUAAAUUACAUUAUUAUAAUUAUGUAAUAAUAUGAAAUAAAAAAUAUGUCAAAUUUUCUUCCAAA